Molecule: ribosomal RNA, 425 nt
Filed under: uncultured bacterium
Lineage: Bacteria
Description: bacterial SSU rRNA
Rfam family: Bacterial small subunit ribosomal RNA
Source: RNAcentral
GAAUUUUGGACAAUGGGGGCAACCCUGAUCCAGCCGUGCCGCGUGAGUGAAGAAGGCCUUCGGGUUGUAAAGCUCUUUCGGCGGGGACGAAACGGUUCGUGCUAACACCGCGAACUAAUGACGGUACUCGCAUAAGAAGCACCGGCUAACUACGUGCCAGCAGCCGCGGUAAUACGUAGGGUGCAGGCGUUAAUCGGAAUUACUGGGCGUAAAGCGUGCGCAGGCGGCUCCUUAAGUCAGAUGUGAAAUCCCCGAGCUUAACCUGGGAACUGCGUUUGAAACUGAGGGGCUUGAGUGUGGAAGAGGGGGGUGGAAUUCCAGGUGUAGCAGUGAAAUGCGUAGAGAUCUGGAGGAACACCGAUGGCGAAGGCAGCCCCCUGGGCUAACACUGACGCUCAUGCACGAAAGCGUGGGGAGCAAACAGG